UAGGCUGAAACUCGCCUACAUGAAGCUGGAAUUGCUAGUAAUCACAGGUCAGCAUACUGUGGUGAAUACGUUCCCGGGCCUUGUACACACCGCCCGUCACACCAUGAGAGUUGAGAAUACCCGAAGCCCAUGUCAAAGUGGUCGAAGGUAGGCUUGAUGAUUGGGUGAAGUCGUAACAAGGUACC
This 185-nucleotide ribosomal RNA is filed under the name uncultured bacterium. RNAcentral describes it as "partial 16S ribosomal RNA". It matches the Rfam family "Bacterial small subunit ribosomal RNA", at positions 1301 to 1500 of the family's 1533-position model. The record is from RNAcentral.